Molecule: ribosomal RNA, 924 nt
Filed under: Euglena cantabrica
Lineage: Eukaryota; Euglenozoa; Euglenophyceae; Euglenales; Euglenaceae
Description: partial large subunit ribosomal RNA
Rfam family: Eukaryotic large subunit ribosomal RNA
Source: RNAcentral
AGCUGCCUGGUACCAUGAGGUGACUUCUGCGUAGUGCUCUUAUUAUAAAUGCGUAGAGAUCCAGCCAAACGCGGGUAGACGGCGGGAGUAACUAUGACUCUCUUAAGGUAGCAAAAUUACUCGUAAACCAAUUAUUGACACGCAUGAAUGGAUCAACGAGAUUCGUGUGGUCCCUAGUGGCUGUCCGGUGAACCAACAGCAAAGGGAACGAUCUUGGAUGUGUAAGCGGGGAAAGAAGACCCUGUUGAGUUUGACUCUAGUUUGAUGCUGUGCAGCGACAUGGGGGGUGUAGCACAGGUGGGAGGCGCGUGCAUCGUGUACGGUGGUGUGUGGCCCUCUCUUUCUCUAUCCAGGGACGCAAACCACACGUGAAAUGCCACUACCUUCACCGUCACUAUAAUAAUCGAGUGAGCCGGGACCAGUGAGACCUGCAUCCGAGCGAUCGUGGGUCCCCUCCUCGUCCCCUGCCGGGGGCGGGGAGCGCACACGGCCCUUCCUGCUCAGUGACCGACGCCUCCGGCAUCCGCACAGGGGUCCACCGUGGAUGUGUGUGCGAUCCAACCAACUAUAGCGAAGCAUAUAGACACUGCUCAGGUGAGGAAUUUGGCUGGGGCGGCACGCCUGUUACAUCACAACGCAGGCGUCCUGAAGCAAUCCUCAGGUGGAACGGAAAUCUCACGGGGAGGAUAGGGCCAAAGGUCCAGUACAAGCCCACAAACGUGCGAGUGUGGCCUASCGAUUCUUUGGUCAACGCACGAGUUCGGGAUAUGCGAAGCGCGAAGAUUCAGGAAAAUUACAACAGGCAUAAAUGGCUUGUGGCGGACAAGCGUUCACAGCGAUGUUGCCUUUUGAUCCUUCGAUGUCGGCUCUUCCUAGAUUCCCACCCGCAGCCGACCGCAAGAGGUGGAUUGUUCACCCACCAAC